This 451-nucleotide ribosomal RNA is filed under the name uncultured bacterium. RNAcentral's name for it is "partial 16S ribosomal RNA". It matches the Rfam family "Bacterial small subunit ribosomal RNA", at positions 29 to 523 of the family's 1533-position model. The record is from RNAcentral.
AGCGAACGCUGGCGGCAGGCUUAACACAUGCAAGUCGAACGGGCGUAGCAAUACGUCAGUGGCAGACGGGUGAGUAACGCGUGGGAACGUACCUUUUGGUUCGGAACAACCCAGGGAAACUUGGGCUAAUACCGGAUAAGCCCUUACGGGGAAAGAUUUAUCGCCGAAAGAUCGGCCCGCGUCUGAUUAGCUUGUUGGUGAGGUAACGGCUCACCAAGGCGACGAUCAGUAGCUGGUCUGAGAGGAUGAUCAGCCACAUUGGGACUGAGACACGGCCCAAACUCCUACGGGAGGCAGCAGUGGGGAAUAUUGGACAAUGGGCGCAAGCCUGAUCCAGCCAUGCCGCGUGAGUGAUGAAGGCCCUAGGGUUGUAAAGCUCUUUUGUGCGGGAAGAUAAUGACGGUACCGCAAGAAUAAGCCCCGGCUAACUUCGUGCCAGCCGCCGCGGUAA